This is a long non-coding RNA of Bacillus rossius redtenbacheri, 280 nucleotides long. RefSeq lists it as uncharacterized. Lineage: Eukaryota; Metazoa; Arthropoda; Insecta; Phasmatodea; Bacillidae. The transcript is spliced from 3 exons. The record is from RefSeq and is a predicted model, not a curated record.
UGAGCGGUCACUGGCGCCAGAGCACUGGAAGCCAAGAAGCGGAGGCCAGUUUCUCGUCGGAGCUUCGCCAUAACAGCAGGAGACAUCAGGGUCGUCGUGCUCAUAGCCAGGCACCCUGCUCUACCUGCAGAGCACUCUAUGACGCAGUCCUGAAGUCACAGAGUAGGCUUCUCGCCUUCACCACACGAAGGAAAGAAUUCGAAAAGGAGAGUGAGUGAAACUUAUCAUUUAACUGUCGGCGUCCAAAUGUCGAAAUAAACUUUCACAUUUUUUACCUCCG